This 35-nucleotide non-coding RNA is filed under the name unclassified sequences. RNAcentral's name for it is "DUF805b RNA". It matches the Rfam family "DUF805b RNA". Rfam says of the family: Bacteroidetes, Chlorobi (1 example), Proteobacteria. Lineage (Flavobacteria) The record is from RNAcentral.
AAGGUAGAUGCCGAAAAACCUUUAAAGAGUAGGUA